This is a long non-coding RNA of Tetranychus urticae (two-spotted spider mite), 1137 nucleotides long. RefSeq lists it as uncharacterized. NCBI's taxonomy places the organism in Eukaryota, Metazoa, Arthropoda, Arachnida, Trombidiformes, Tetranychidae. The record is from RefSeq and is a predicted model, not a curated record.
GCUUGACAUUGAAAAUUAAAUUGAAACUUACAUUUUAAAUUAAUGAUUAAUUAUAAACCAUGAUAAUUAUCACUUUUGAUUUUAAACAAAAUGUUGAUUAAAACUUCAUUAACUCUUGAAGAUUUUUACAUAUUGAUUAAGUUUUUGCUAAUUUGAGGUUUAUUAAGAGUUGAAUAUGUUUUGUUUUUUUGUUACAUUGCUUCUAGUGUUUUCAAGUGACCAUUAAUAAGAUGUUGGAUCCAAGAUUUGUAUCUAAUUGACAAACUUUUUGAUCAAAUAUGCUUCUCAAAGGUUACCCUUGUGUGUGUGUGUUGAUCAAUUAUCAAUUUCAAAUGAUGAUUUUGUUCCCAGCUAAAGAUGAGAAGCAAAAAAAAGCAAAUGAUGAAAAUUUAAGCUUAGUUAAGGAAAACAAACGUUCGCCUAAGGCCAUUAUAAAGGUUACUGACGAUGAUGAUAAUGGUGAUGAUGAUGGACUUAAAAGUUAAUAAGCAGGGAGGAGGAAUAAAAAGCCACGUCUAAAGCUUACUAGAAAUGAUCAGCGAGAUGAAAGUAAAUUUUCACUUGAAGACCAUUUACUGGACAACUCCAGGUAACCUAAAUUUGAACAACCACAUGGACAAUGGAGUCAAUCAUUUCACUUAAACCAUGGAAUGAUAACAAUGGCUUUAACGGCGUAAAACCUCAUGUUGGUUAUUGUUUCCAUCCUGAGGUGGUUAACUGUUUGCUGUACCUAAUACUUGGUUAAACUCAAUUUGUCAUCUCAAAUCUAAUUGUUACCUGUUCAUGAUGUCUAAAUGUGAUUCAACGUUUACCUAAAAUAAUUCCAAUUCCUUCUGGCUUUUUCACAAUAUCUCCCGGUUUUCAGGUUAAUAGAGUCUUGCAAAUUGUUGAUAUUUACAAUAAUCAUUAUUUAUGAUAAUUUAAUGUAAAUUUAAUCUCAAAUGGUUUGAUAAUUUUUAUUUGAUUGUAAAUAAUGGACUCUAUCUACUGUAUAUUUUACAGAUAAUACAAAAGUCAUUUGUACAGUUGAAGCCAAAUUUUUCCAUUCAACUUGAUUGAUGCUAUUCAAGUAGCUACUGUAAACCCAAAUUUUACCUCUUUAUUUUAAUAAAACCCUUCUAAUUGUUUCUUGAUUAC